Sapajus apella (tufted capuchin) is the source of this 4646-nucleotide RNA transcript. It is a transcript of the gene named presequence protease, mitochondrial pseudogene, with no coding region annotated. The record is from RefSeq and is a predicted model, not a curated record. NCBI's taxonomy places the organism in Eukaryota, Metazoa, Chordata, Mammalia, Primates, Cebidae. The transcript has a single exon.
GACUAAACUGCUUUAAUUAAGAAAUUUAAAAGUACAGUGGCUUUGUUAAAAAGUAGAAUUUGCCCCUCUAAACAUUCCAGAGGAUGUGCAGUCCCGGCUGACAGGGUGGCUCUGCUCCACAUGGUCAGAAAGCAACAUAGGAACCAUAUUGUUGUCCUAUCACCUCUAACGAUGUUGUCUUUAUUUGAUAAUGGUCUCAAGUUUGUCUCUUUGUAUUUGAGGGAGACAAAUUUCCAAAGCCCUGUAUAUCCAAGUCCACUGGGCUACUGCCAGUUCCUCACACUCCAUCUUUCAGCCUUCUUGGCAAGGCAUCUGGAAAAGUAUUUAAAAAGUACUUUUGUUGUUUUACCUCCUGCUAACAAUACUACAAUUGUAAUCAUGUGUUUCUACCACAGACUUCGCCAACCCCAAUGCAUCGCACCUCUCAUUGCAUGUGAAUGAUGGCUCCUGUUCUAUUCUCUCACCUUCCAACUCCAUGAAGUCCAUGCCAGCUGGCUGGUUGCUAAGAAAACUAAUUGAUAGUUUCCAAGAAGGACCUCAAGGAAACCUCAGAUUGGCCAAGGAUCACUAUAAGAAGUAAGAGCAUCAAUUUAGGAUCCUUUUCAUUUCACUUACCUUCCUCCAGUUGUUACAGCUUCAUGAAUCACACUAAGAACAUAUUAUUUAUUCUUUAUUCCAGUUAUCUCCCUAAAAGAAACCUAAGUAGGGUGAACAUAUGGAUCAUAUAAGACAAGUAACGAAGCCAUGGCAAACUCCAGUACUAAAGUCACUGGGCAGGGAAAGUCCUGAAGGAGUGAUAGUGGGGACCACCUCUCUUCAAAAUACUUUUCAGUGGGAUAAAUUCAUUUACUAAGGCAGAAGUUCUCAAAAUAUGUGUGGUCCCUGGACCAGCAGCAUAAGCAUCAUUGGGGAACUUGCUAGAAAUACCAAUUCUCAGGCCCCAACACUGUCCUGAGUUUGAGUCGUAAACUCAGGGAGUAGGGUCAAGCAAUCUAUGUUUUAACAAGCCCUCCAGGUGACUGACUCAAGCUAAAAAGUGUGAAAACUACUAUACUUAACAAAUCUUGGCAAACUUCAUGCCAUUCCAUCUUCAGCAAAGGUCUUGGACAUAACAUCCAAACUGAUUAUUCCAUUGUUUCAUUCCAGACUCAGAAAGAAGCCACAGCCUCUGCUAGAUUUUUGGCUGUACACACCACUGUCUCAGGGGAUCUCUCUGUAACACAUUAACGGGUCAUCUUCUCUUAUUGCCUUUGCUUCUCAUUCCUGACCCAAGUCAGAGGUUGUCUGUCAGACUUGGUUUGAGCCUCUCUGGCCAAACACUGUAUCUAAUGAAUGGAUAAACAAAAUGUAGUAUAUAUGUACAACGAAAUAUUAUUCAAUCAUAAAAGAAGUGCAGUUGUUAUAUGUUACCACACAAAUGAACCUUGAAAACAUGCUAAGUGAAAGAAACCAGACACAAAAGACCACAUAUUGUAUGGUUCAUUUAAUGAAAUGUCUGGAAUAGACAAAUAGAUACAAAAAGUAGUUUAGUAGUUACCAAGGGAUGAGGAAGGGGAGAAUACGGACUAACUGCUAAUAGGUAUGGGGUUUCUUUCUAGGGUGAUGGAAAUGUUCUUGAAGUAUGUAGUGGUGAUAGUUGCUCACCAUAGUCAAUAUACUGAAAUAGACAUGCAAAAUGUUGAAUUCCAUGUUAUAUAAAGUAUAUAUCUCAAUUUUUACAUGCUAUAAAAGAAAAAAAUGUUGUGUUAAAUAUUGUACUUGGGUUCAAAAUAUAUGAGUCCUAGCAAUUGCUGAACAGCAAUCCAUGUGAAAAUAACGUGGGAUUUUUAGUUAACUGGAGCCUAAACGAGAUCAUUUUGCAAUCUGACUACUGAGAAUGCUAAGUUGAUCUUUGAUUGCAAUCGACAGUGUUCCAGUUAAGGAAGAAGGUAGUCAUUCUUUCUGCUAUGUUCACCAGAGUGAACCAUUUCUAGGGUCUUGGAUUCAGUUAUGAGCAUUUAAGAAUGUUUACAAAAUUCAGCAGUAAAAAGAAAUGAAGACAGGCCACAUGGCGCUGUGGCAGGCGGCAGGGCCUAGGUGGUUGAGGCAGCUGAGUAGCAGACAUGCACACCACAAAGCGUGGUGAUGGAACAGUAACUGGGCUUGUGAGAGGGCUCUACAGCAUAAACUAGGAGAUAAAAUCCACGGAUUCACCAUAAACCAGGUGACAUCUGGUCCUGAGCUGUUUCUGACUGCAGUGAACCUCAGCCGUGAUGACACAGGAGCCAGAUAUUUAAACCUGGCCAGAGAAGACACAAAUAAUCUGUUCAGCAUGCAAUUCUGCACUACUCCUAUGGACAGCACCAGUGUUUCUCACAUUCUUUAGCAUACCAUCCUUCGUGGGUCUCAGAAAUAUCCAUGCAGAGACCCUUUCUUCAAAAUGUUGAACUGGUCCCUAUCCACUUUCAUAAACCCCUCCACAGUGAUUAUACUCUGUAUCCAUUUUCCACACAAAAUCCCAAGGACUUUCAGAAUCUCAUCUCAGUGUAUUUGGAUGCUGCCUUUUUCCCAUGUUUACCAGAGCUGGAUUUCUGGCAGGAAGGUCUGAAUGACCCCCAGAUGCCCUUGGUCUUUAAAGGAGUCUGCUUUAAUAAGGUGAAGGGAGCAUUUACAGACAAUGAGAGGAUAUUCUCCCAUCACCUUCAGAAGAGACUUCUUCCAGACCACACUUACUCAGUGGUCUCUGGGGGUGAUCCAUUGUGCAUACUGGAGCUUACAUGGGGGCAACUUAAGCAAUUUCAUGCCACUCACUAUCACUUAAGCUAUGCUAGGUUAUUCACGCAUGGUAAUUUUCUGUUAGAACAGCAUCUGAAACAAAUUCAUGAGGAAGCACUGAGCAAAUUUCAGAAAAUUGAACCGAGCACUGCAGUGGAAUUCCAGAUAACAUGUAGCCCAUAUUCAUUUUCUGCAGAUCCCUCUAAACAAACAACCAUCAGCAUUAACUUCCUCUUACCAGACAUCACCAACACAAUUGAAGAAUUCACACUAAGUCUUCUGUGUUCACUCUUGAUUUCUGGGCCCAACUCUCUUUUACAAAGCCUUGAUUGAAUCUGGCCUUGGCACAGACUUUUCUCCUGAUGUUGGAUAUAAUGGCUACAUAAGGGAGGCCUGCUUCAGAGUCGACCUCCAAGGGAUUGUGGAGAAAGACAUUGAGACCAUCAGGUGACUCAUAGACAAAACAAUUGAUGAAGUAGUUGAGAAAAGAUUUGAAGAUGAUCAAAUUGAAGCUUUACUUCAUAAAAUUGAAAUACAGAUGAAACAUCAGUCUACCAGCUUCAUAUUGACUCUGACAUCAUACAUAGCUUCUUGCUGGAACCAUGAUGGGAACCCUGUGGAGCUCUUGAAGUGGGAAAUCAGUUGGCUAAAUUCAGACAGCGCCUGCAGAAAAAUCCAAAAUUUUUGCAAGAAAAAGUAAAACAUUAUUUUAAGAAUAAUCAGCAUAAGCUGACUUUAUCAAUGAGGCCGGAUGACAAGGGUCAUGAGAAGCAAGCACAGGUAGAAGCCACAGAGCUCAAGCAGAAGGUUGAGACUUUGUCCCCCAGAGACAGGCAGCAGAUCUACAAGAAAGGUUUAGAAUUACGGAAUCAACAAAGCAAACCUCAAAAUGCGUCUUGUCUGCCAGUGUUGAAAGUUUCAGAUAUUGAGUCCACUGUACCUAUCAAGAAGUUGGAAGUGGUCCUGACAGUUGGAGAUAUCCCUGUUCAGUACUGCGCCCAGCCCACCAAUGGUGUGGUAUAUUUCUGGGCCUUCUCCAGUCUGAACACGCUCCCUGAGGAGCUGAGACCCUAUGUGCCCCUUUUCUGCAGCAUCCUCACCAAGCUGGGCUGUGACCUUCUUGACUACCAGGAGCAGGCUCAGCAAAUAGAACUGAAGACCAGAGGAAUGACCGCUUCUCCCCAUGUGCUCCCUGACAACUUGCAUAUGGACACCUACGAGCAGGGUGUGCUUUUCUCCUCUCUCUGCCUGGACCGAAACCUGACAGACAGAUGCAUUUAUGGAGUGAAAUAUUUAACAACCCAUGCUUUGAGGAAGAACACUUCAAAGUGCUGGUGAAGAUGACUACAUGCAUUUCUCUUCCCUGAGGAAAGGGUAUCUGCCUCACCAUUGCUGAAGAGAGAGACGAGAGACUGACAGCCAAACAGAGCAAUGGGUAAAAUGGUCUCUAGUGACAUGUUAGAAAGAUUUUUGUACUUAAUUAAAGAUAACAUGGCAUUAAAAAAAUAUUCAUCAUGACCAAGUGGAAUUUAUCCCAGGAGUGCAAGGAUAGUUGAACACACACAAGUCUAUGAAUAUGAUACAUCAUACGUAUCAUAAUGAAAGACGAAAACCAUAUGAUCAUUUCAAUUGAUACCAGAAAAGCAUUUGUUAGUAUUUAACAUCUCUUCAUGUUAAAAGAAAAACCUCAAAGAAUUGGAUAUAGAAGGAACAUACAUCAACAUAAUAAAAGCCAUAUAUAACAGACCGACAGCUAUUAUCAUACUGAAUGGGGAAAAAUUGAAAGUCUUUUCUCUAAGAUCGGAAACACAACAAGGAUGCACACUUUUGUCACUGUUAUUAAACAUAUUACUGGAAGUCCUAGUUAGAGCAAUCAGAGAAGAGAAAGAAAU